UCAUAUUUGGAAAAAAAAAUUCAUCAGUUUACAAAAGAAAAAAUCAAACCACAGUAAUGUUGGUAAUCAUAAACCACCCACCUGUUAUGGGCUAACAAGUCCCUUACAGAAAAUUUGAUGCUGAAAUCACCGUCUUCUUAAGGAGGGGAAUCACUAGAAUUAACCUCAAGAACUGGCGGAGAAGCGGGGCAGCAGGAGCACCGCCUCCUCAGUCUCG
RNAcentral lists this unclassified non-coding RNA (217 nucleotides) under Hevea brasiliensis (rubber tree). Lineage: Eukaryota; Viridiplantae; Streptophyta; Magnoliopsida; Malpighiales; Euphorbiaceae. The record is from RNAcentral.